Podarcis lilfordi (Lilford's wall lizard) is the source of this 74-nucleotide non-coding RNA. The record is from the annotation of a GenBank genome assembly. Lineage: Eukaryota; Metazoa; Chordata; Lepidosauria; Squamata; Lacertidae.
UGCAGGACAGCUCAGUCAGCAGAGCAUGAGACUCUUGAUCUCUGGGUCGUGGGUUCGAGUCCCACGUUGGGCAA